UACGGAGGGAGCUAGCGUUGUUCGGAUAUACUGGGCGUAAAGCGCACGUAGGCGGCGCCGUAAGUCAGGGGUGAAAUCCCGGAGCUCAACUCCGGAACUGCCCUUGAAACUGCAGUGCUAGAAUCCCGGAGAGGCGAGUGGAAUUCCGAGUGUAGAGGUGAAAUGCGCAGAUAUCAGGAGGAACACCAAUGGCGAAGGCGGCUCACUGGCCUGAUACUGACGCUGAGGCACGAAAGCGUGGGGAGCAAACAGG
This 253-nucleotide ribosomal RNA is filed under the name uncultured bacterium. RNAcentral's name for it is "partial 16S ribosomal RNA". It matches the Rfam family "Bacterial small subunit ribosomal RNA", at positions 524 to 776 of the family's 1533-position model. The record is from RNAcentral.